GCGACCGCUGUGGGAGUCCGAUUAAGCCAUGCGAGUCGAGAGAAUAAGAUUCUCGGCAUACCGCUCAGUAACACGUGGAUAACUGCCCUGUGCUGGGGGAUAACCUCGCGAAAGUGAGAACAAUACCCCAUGGACCACCAUGCCUGGAACGGUUGGUGGUUGAAAGCUCCGGCGGAGUAGGAUGGGUCUGCGGCGUAUCAGGUUGUAGGGGGUGUAAUGUACCUCCUAGCCAUUGACGCGUACGGGUUGUGAGAGCAAUCGCCCGGAGAUGGAUUCUGAGACACGAAUCCAGACCCCACGGGGUGCAGCAGGCGCGAAAACUUGACAAUGCGAGCAAUCGUGAUCAGGGGACUCCAAUUGGAUCAAUUAAUUUUGAGCUCUGAACCGACUCUAAAUAGGUCGGGUAAUAGGGGCGGGAAAUAUCGGUGCCAGCCGCCGCGGUAAUACCGAAGCCCCAAGUGGUCGUCGUUAUUAUUGGGCCUAAAACGUCCGUAGCCGGUUUGGUACAUUCGUGGGUAAAUCAGACAGCUUAACUGUCUGAAUUCUGCGAGGACGGCCAAACUUGAGACCGGGAGAGGUGUGGGGUACCUGCGGGGUAGGGGUAAAAUCCUGUCAUCCCGUAGGGACCACCUGUUGCGAAGGCGCCACACUAGAACGGAUCUGACGGUCAGGGACGAAGCCUAGGGGCACGAACCGGAUUAGAUACCCGGGUAGUCCUAGGUGUAAACGCUGUGGACUUGGUGUCGGGGAUCUCUAGAGGAUUCUCGGUGCCGUAGUGAAGAUGUUUAGUCCACUGCCUGGGGAGUACGGUCGC
This 814-nucleotide ribosomal RNA is filed under the name uncultured Candidatus Poseidoniales archaeon. RNAcentral describes it as "SSU rRNA". It matches the Rfam family "Archaeal small subunit ribosomal RNA", at positions 23 to 844 of the family's 1478-position model. The record is from RNAcentral. Lineage: Archaea; Methanobacteriati; Thermoplasmatota; Candidatus Poseidoniia; Candidatus Poseidoniales.